GGGUGCCUUUGGCUGAUGGCCGGAGGGAACACCUGAAGGCCGGAUGUGAAAAGGCCCCGGACAAAACAUUCAUGUUUAACCCGAGGCCUGACCAUUCAUCCUAAGCAAGUGAAAGGUUAGCGCCUCUCCGUAAAAGGAGCAAGCGUUAUG
RNAcentral lists this antisense RNA (150 nucleotides) under Escherichia phage. RNAcentral's name for it is "sok antitoxin (CssrC)". It matches the Rfam family "sok antitoxin (CssrC)". From Rfam's summary of the family: Also identified in Shigella as CssrC. The record is from RNAcentral.